RNAcentral lists this unclassified non-coding RNA (240 nucleotides) under soil metagenome. RNAcentral's name for it is "partial contains 5.8S ribosomal RNA, internal transcribed spacer 2, and large subunit ribosomal RNA". The stretch from base 1 to 115 matches the Rfam family "5.8S ribosomal RNA", at positions 35 to 154 of the family's 154-position model. The record is from RNAcentral.
GAUGAAGAACGUAUCGAAACGCGAUAUUUCUUGUGAAUUGCAGAAGUGAAUCAUCAGUUUUUGAACGCACAUUGCACUUUGGGGUAUCCCCCAAAGUAUACUUGUUUGAGCGUUGUUUCUCUCUUGGAAUUGCUUUGCUCUUCUAAAAUUUCGAAUCAAAUUCGUUUGAAAAACAACACUAUUCAACCUCAGAUCAAGUAGGAUUACCCGCUGAACUUAAGCAUAUCAAUAAGCGGAGGA